Molecule: long non-coding RNA, 1718 nt
Filed under: Bemisia tabaci
Lineage: Eukaryota; Metazoa; Arthropoda; Insecta; Hemiptera; Aleyrodidae
Description: lncRNA ENSSWEETPG005427
Source: RNAcentral
AUGGUUCAGUCUGAUAAUGAAUCCCUUGGGGCAGACGAACUCACAAACGAUUCGGAAUACUCAAAUUCAGGAGCCAUUGAGAGUACGUUGACCCAAACUGACUCAGGACCAAUGGAAAUCCAAAAGCUAUCACCAGAGCAGCUGAAAGAAAUCAUUGGAGGAGAUGUGAGUGAAGUGCGAUCGGAGUCGGAAGAAAGUCAGGAUGUAGUUAAAAAUUUAGCAUCAGAAUUCGACAAAGUUAGGAAUUUCGAAUCAGUGAAAGAGAUCACCACAUCCUCAUUGAAGAUUAAGAUCACCACUAAAACUGGACCAAAGACAAAUUCCGAGAGUAAUACAGAAUUGCAAGGUCAUACUUCUGCAACAGUAUCGCGCAGCUGUUCUAUUGACAGUGAGAGCACAUCUCUAUCUAUUGAUAAUGCAACUUCUGAAUCAGACAGAACUCAAUCAGCAGCGGUAAGUCGAUCUAGCUCUGUUGAAAGUGAAGCAAGCAUAUUUUAUAGUGAUAGAGGUAUCAAAACACCAGCUUCAAUCAGUCGAACAAACUCCACCAGCAGUGACAGUUCUGUCUCCAGUGACCUGAGCCGCCUAAAAUCAUCUGGUGUAGACGCCUCAAUUUUACCUCACCCUGAAUACAAGAACAAAAUCAAGGUUGACCUUCGCAACAACCAAAUCAUUUCCCAUGAGGCUGGAAAAUUCCCAAUGAAAAUUACCACGGAGGCAUCUUGCCCGGCCAAGAUCUUUAUGAAGUCAGCAACAAAACCAGAGCCAGGAUCUUCAAAGUGGCGUGCUAUAGAACCAGUAACUACAGAUUGUAAAGUAAUUUUAAAAUCCAUCGAUACUGAUAGUAAAGAAUCCAUGACCCCAAAACGUGGCAGAAGAAAAGCAACCAUCGAUGUUAAUGAUAGCAUCGAUGGCCAAAGUUUUCCUGAUAAAUUAAUGCCCAGGCGCGGGCGGCCGAAGAAAGUAUCAGAGGCAGAGCCGCAAGUCAAAUUAUCCAAACUUACAACAGAAAUUAUUAAUGUUGGAGAAGGAGGAAGUGCAAACUCCUGUGGAAAUGAGAAUAGUGAUAUUUUAAACAAGGAGCCUGAUGCAGUGGGAGAUUUGGAGGCAAACUACAAAGUACCCAUCGAAUUGAUGGAUGGCAGUGUCAUAGAUGAAACCCCAGUGAAGAGUCCAUUUGUCUCACUGCUGACUACAGAUUCUGAUGCGACACCAGGUUCUGGUGAACCCACAAAGCGGAAACGAGGUCGUCCGCGUAAAAUCAAAGUUGAAGAUGGCAAUCUCUCUACCCUACAAGGAACUCCCGUGAAAGGAAAAAGAGGACGAAAACCGAAGAUUAACCUCGAUGACCCUAAUGACCCCCGGGCUGUAGCUGAAAGAGAACGGUUGGCUGAGCAAGCAAGGCUUCGUCAAGAAGCUGCUGAAAAGAAACGGCGAGAGGAAGAAGAGCGUAAACAAAGGGAGGAAGAGGAACGUAAGAAACGAGAAGAGGAAGAACGAAUUAGGCGCGAAGUAGAAGAAAAGAAACGACUUGAAGAGGAAGAAAGACUCAAAGAAGAGGCCCUGAAAAAGAAAGAAGAAGAGAAGGCCAGGAAGUAUGAAGAAAAAAAGAAGAGGUAAGCACAUUUUCUAGAAAUAAAUGUAAAGAAAUUUAAGCUAGGUACGACAAGAAACUCGGAGAUGGAACCUGAAGAACAAUUUUUACUUGUUAAGUGGGA